Molecule: ribosomal RNA, 250 nt
Filed under: uncultured bacterium
Lineage: Bacteria
Description: partial 16S ribosomal RNA
Rfam family: Bacterial small subunit ribosomal RNA
Source: RNAcentral
UACGGAGGGUGCUAGCGUUGUUCGGAAUUAUUGGGCGUAAAGAGCGUGUAGGCGGCCUCGUAAGUCAGAUGUGAAAUCCCUUGGCUUAACCAAGGAAGGGCAUUUGAAACUGCUUGGCUUGAGUACGGGAGGGGGAAGCGGAAUUCCCGGUGUAGAGGUGAAAUUCGUAGAUAUCGGGAGGAACACCGGUGGCGAAGGCGGCUUUCUGGACCGAUACUGACGCUGAGACGCGAAAGCGUGGGGAGCAAAC